AACGAACGCUGGCGGCAGGCCUAACACAUGCAAGUCGAGCGCGCAGCAAUGCGAGCGGCAGACGGGUGAGUAACGCGUGGGAACCUUCCCAGUGGUACGGAAUAGCUCAGGGAAACUUGAGGUAAUACCGUAUACGCCCGAAAGGGGAAAGAUUUAUCGCCAUUGGAUGGGCCCGCGUAGGAUUAGCUAGUUGGUGAGGUAACGGCUCACCAAGGCGACGAUCCUUAGCUGGUCUGAGAGGAUGAUCAGCCACACUGGGACUGAGACACGGCCCAGACUCCUACGGGAGGCAGCAGUGGGGAAUAUUGGACAAUGGGCGCAAGCCUGAUCCAGCCAUGCCGCGUGAGUGACGAAGGUCUUCGGAUUGUAAAGCUCUUUUGGCGGGGACGAUAAUGACGGUACCCGCAGAAUAAGCCCCGGCUAACUUCGUG
RNAcentral lists this ribosomal RNA (431 nucleotides) under uncultured organism. Its description in RNAcentral is "bacterial SSU rRNA". It matches the Rfam family "Bacterial small subunit ribosomal RNA", at positions 29 to 507 of the family's 1533-position model. The record is from RNAcentral.